Monodelphis domestica (gray short-tailed opossum) is the source of this 5185-nucleotide long non-coding RNA. RefSeq lists it as uncharacterized. Lineage: Eukaryota; Metazoa; Chordata; Mammalia; Didelphimorphia; Didelphidae. The record is from RefSeq and is a predicted model, not a curated record.
CAGGAGGUCACAUAUUUGUCACGUCAAACUUGUCUACUGAUUUCUGAGUUUGCCUUUGUAUUUUAAAUAAUUUUUUUGAUCCUUUCACUUUCCUCUAUCUUUUGCCACCUUAGUCUUUAGAACCCUGUUACUUCCUUCCUCCCACCAUUUCCUUCAGCAGUUUCUGGAGGCAUUAUUCAAUUGGCCUCAGGUUACUCAGCUCCGGAGGGUGCCCAAGCAAGAGACCGAUCAAAUGUUUCUUUCUCCUUUCAGGGGCAGGACCAGAGAAAGCAGCCACUUUUCCCAGAUAUCUUCUCUUCGCUACAGAGUCCUAGAAGCUUCUUUGCCUUAGCAUCCAGAUACCGACUUCCAACCCCGCUCCUUUAUCUUUCUCUUCGUAACCAACCUAGGUGGGAAGACAAGCGGAAUUCCUGCCUGGCUCUGGAGCUGGGGAGGUGACGACACCGUCGGUCCCAGGCGACAGGUUUGACAAACUCUCCCAGAAGAAAGUAAACAGGGGGCACCUGCCAACUUUUCACCUGACUCCCGUCUCUAUUCCCUGGAAGCCCUGGGGUUCCAGAGAGCAGCCUUGGGUGCAGUACGACGCGGGUCCCCCGAGGACCGCUGCCCCUGGCAGGGGCCACUCUGGCCCCUUCCUCCCCUCUCCCUAGGGUUCAGCCACCUGAGCCACAGCCAGGGCGGGGGCGACCUAAAGUGCUAGUGAGGGGCAGGUCGGGGAGUGGAGCCUGGCGCAGACCUACCUUCACAAAGAGCUCAAUUUCAGGAUCCUUGCUGUCCCCGUUAGCAGAAGCAGAGUCAGUCAUGGUGUCAUAGGCAGGAGUCACUGCCCGUUUCCUGAGAGGUGGCCACUUCAGCAACAGCUGGAUGCUCUCUCUCCCUCCUUCCCUCCCUCAAUAGCUCCCACCGAAGCUUUCUAAAAAAACAUGCUAAUUGUCCAGCUGAGGGGGGUCUUCUAUGGCAGAGCUCCUACCCAAAAAAGAGAAGAACCGGGCUACCAAAGGAGAAGGGGAAACAAAUGAGCCGGUGGGGCUGAUAACAGUUUCAGGGUGCAACAAGUGCCGGGCCCGCUUCUGUGGUGUCACAGUAUCCUCAACUGUCAGCGCUUCGGAGCUCCCUGGCGGCCCAAAAUAGCCGGGAACACAAGAGGGCGGGGCUAGCGGGCAGUAGAAGGAGGCGGAGACACUGCCCGGCCUGAGCCUUAGACUCUCUCGGCCCCAGACUGGGUACUGGAUCUGUGCUCGACCCCCGGGCCCGCCGGACCUGGACUUUGCCUUUCUUUACGCAUCCGUGGCGCGGCCUUGUUAAAAGGAGGGUCUGGACUGCGAGGAAUGUGUUUCGUCCUUUUUCCUUGGGAAAGGCGGGGGAGAAGAGGGAAGAAGAGAAGAGUGAGAUAAGCCCCGGUGGGCGAAGGGGCAAGGGAUUUGUGGGGGAGAGGAGACCUGGAAGAAAAGAGGCGAGCAAAGUAAGGCAUGAGGAGAGGAGACUCGGAGAGGAGAGGGAAGGAGAGACCUGGGGCAGAGGAAAGGAGAGAUAGACAGAGAUGGUUUUCAGCUUCUUAUGUUUCUUUUAUGAAGAGUUUUUUUUCAGGACAGCAGAGUACUAGUGUUACCAACUCGAAAGUUCCAUUUCUGCAUGAUCAGUGCUCAAGAGGGGGGAAGAAGAAGGAGUCAGGGAGGGAAAUCCCGCCAUCCCCAAGAGAAAUGAGAUGGCAUUUGUCGCUUUAUGAUCAAGAAAAAGAAGAGUAAGUCAAAGGAAGGAGUGUGGAGAGAUGGGCUGGAGAGGAGUGUCAUUGUAAGGGAAAGGUGAGCCAAACAGGUCAGAUUCAUUCAUAACUAGGAAUCAGUGUUCUUUUUAACCUUCGGUUUCUUUUUUUUAUUCCGUUCGUUUUCUGGCUUGCUUUAUUUUUUCCUUCCCUAAUAGAAACUAAAGACAGAUUUUUUUUAAAAAGAUGUAUUAAACUUUCUUUGUAAAUAUUUGUAUUUAUUAAUUUUGCAUUUAUACAGUGUGUAUAAUUUAAUAUAUUCAUUUCCCGUAUUAAAAUAAUCAGUUCUUUUAAGUAGGGAUUAUUUCUUUUUUUUUUCUUUUUCUUCUUUUAAGCAUAUACCCAGUACCUAGGAUGUAGUAUGUAUUUAUUGAGUGGUUGAUUGAUGCAACCCAUAAAGACUUUUUUUGUUUUCAUUUUCCUAAAACAAUGCCCACCUGGACCUUGGUCUACUUAAUCACCCAUAUAUACCAGGUGUUCCACUUUCUUUUUCUUUCUUUCUUUCUUUCUUUUUUUUUUUGGUAGUGGUUUUUAUUUGACUUGAACUAUGAUCUUAUCAGUGUAGAAAGCUUCAGGGAAGAAACUUCCCCCUGUUAAUGCCCAAGACAGGUCUACACCUUCUCUAUAAUUUGUAGUCUCAAAGAGUUGUAUAGGGAACUGGGGGGAGAGGAAGAGGGAGAGGCAGAGGCGGGGAUGCUGCAUGACUUACUCAUGCUCACAAGGCCAGUACAUAUUAGAGGUAGAAUUUGAACACAUCUUCCUAAUGUUUUGGCCAAUUCAUUAUAGGUAUCCCAUAAUGCCUUUCACAGAUAAUUAUUGUCUUUAAUCAUACCAUUCACUAAUGUUUAAAAGUUAUACUAUCUUCAGGUUUUGCAAAUGCCUUUACAAACAUGACCUCAAUUGAUUAAAAAGCAAUCAUCCAACUUUUAUUAAGCACCUACUGUGGACAAGACAGAAAGUGAUUACAAAACUACUCUGCCCUUGGGGAGCUUACAAUCAAUUUGGACAAAUCAGGACCCAAGAUUAAAAACAAACAAACAAAAAAAGAUAAAGCUAAAAAAAUAACAAAACCAUUAAAAAUGAAUGUCUGUGAUAUAAUACUGACCAAGCUUGAUCCCAAUGAAUAGAUGUCAGAAGAUAUUUCCACAUCCCCAUUUCUUUGCCAAAGUGAAGUGCUAUAGAUGUAGAAUACUGCUUAUGGUGUUAAGAAUUGUUUCAAUAUAUUGCUUAUUUCUAUGGAACGUUACAAUUUUUCUUUCUUUUGUCUGUAUCUAUAAAUAAAAUAUAAUCUAAAAUAACAAUAGCUAACAUUUAUAUAGCACUUACUGUAUAUCAGAUCCUGUGCAAAGCACUUUACAAUUAUCUCAGUUGAUCCUCACGACAACCCUGGUGCUCUUAUCAUCCUUACUUUACAGAGGAGGAAACUGAGGCAAAAGAGAUUAAUUGAUUUGCCCAGGGUCACACAGCCAAUAUGUGUCUAAGGUCAAAUUUGAUCUCUCCUCUUCCUGACUCCAGACCCAAGUGUUUUAUCCAUUGUAUCCCCUGGUUCUCCAGCAGUGAGGGAGUAGUAGUUAGGGGGAUAAGGAAGGGGACAAGACAGGAAUGUAAGUAAAGUAAAAGCAAAAAAUAACAAAAAAAAUGUUUAAACCCGUAGGAUGAGCAAUACAAGAGAAUAUAUAAUUUGAAUUAAAAGAAUUAUAUGGAAAAUGAUUCAGAAAAGGAUCCCUGCAGAAUAGGACUUGAGAUGGACCUUGAAGGAUGAUCAGAAUUCAAGAAACGGGAAAAACAAAUCUUAAAGUCCUUUAAAGCAAGUCACAAUAGGAACAUCACCCUCACACCAGAAGGGUGCUACUAUUUUUGCUGUGAAGGAAGCACCUGCAAAGCUCAGCUUGUAGUCUUCACAGGACAUUUAAUCAAGAUUGUGGUUAAUUGCUUUCAUUGUUGGUUUCGGGCUUACAUCACGAAAGCACUUGGAAAAAAUUGUUUUGUGAUUACACAUUCCAGAUUAGUGACAUACUCACCAUAGGAGAGGACCAAAGAAAUGGUUGGUGGAUAAGGCCCUAAGCUGAAUGAAGAAGCCUGGUCUAGGCCCUCCCCUGAUUCUAUCAUGGCAGGUAGCUGUUUUCUGUGCUGAGAAUUUCUGUCUUUGAGAUAGGUAUAAUAUGCAGAGCAGGAAUGUGGUAAGGAGGGGAGGCUGACUCGUACACAAAAUUAAUUUGAAGAAAAGUACUCUGUAAAUAUUAGCUAGCUGUGUGAUGUUAGGCAAAUUAUUUAGCUUCUCUGAGACUCAGUUUCCUACUCUGUAAAAUGUAGAUGAUGAUAAUCAUGCUACCUACUCCAAGGGGUUCUGUUGAGGAAGCCACUCAGGAAACUGCAAAGUGUGACAGUCUUAUUCUACUGACAUCUUUCUCAGCUGUAAUAAAAAGCAGACUAUCUGAGGGUGUGUUUCAUGGAAUUGUGAAUUUUUGUGAAACAAAUCAGGUUCCAUGACCAAAAAAAUUGUUAUGAUAGAGAAGAAUCCAUGGAAGACCAAACAAUUUUGUUUUAGUCUGUAUUCAUUGUACAUAAGUCAUAUAUGCCUUCUGUGGGGAAAUUAGCCAAGCUUAGUUGAAAGCAAUCACUUGAUUGAAAAUCUGACUUCUUAUUGGCCUACACUUAAUCAGCAAAUUUACCCAAAGAUCAACUGUUUAUUGUAUGCUCUGGCAUAAAAUGUGUAAAAUAAGCUAUACCCACUCAUAGUCUCAACUUUUUUUUUUAAACCCUUAACUUCUGACUUAGAAUCUAUACGAAGUAUAGGCUCCAAAACAGAAGAGCAUUAAAGGUUAGGCAUUUGAGUGCCUUAAGUGGUUUAUUCAGGGUCACACAGGUAAGAAGUGUCUGAGAUCAGAUUUGAACCAAGGUCCUCCUGAAUCCAGGCCUGGUUCUCUAUCAGCUGAGCCAUCUAGCUGGCCCUUAUAGUCUUUGCUUUUUAAAAAUAAGAUUAUUAAUACAUAAUUUUAGGACCAAAGUCCAUUGGUAUGGGACUCUUAUUGAUGGAGAUCAAUGUCCCUGGCCCUCCAGGGCAGAAUUGUGGAGAUUCACUUUUUUGACCUGCUUUAAGCUUCAAGUUGCUUUAGGUCCUUCAGUCUCUUUGGGGACUUCUGAUUUUGAGAAAGGAAAGAUGGACAAGGUCAACUUCAAGUUGCAGAAGAAAUUACUUGGAAGACAGGAAAGGAAUUUACAGUCUCCAUCAUGUGCCUAUCACAUCCUUGCUCUACUAGAGACUUCAAGGAACUUCUCUUUGGGUGAGAUCUAGGAUGCUCUCUUGAUUGAGCUCCUAGUGGGAGACCUCCUUCACUCUGUGUCAUCUAAUAUGUAUUCUUCUAAGUAUACUUUCCCUGAUUUGUUCUGCUACUGAUUUGGAUAAAUGGAUUUCUUGGGUAA